Molecule: ribosomal RNA, 664 nt
Filed under: Helvella atroides
Lineage: Eukaryota; Fungi; Ascomycota; Pezizomycetes; Pezizales; Helvellaceae
Description: Helvella sp. QZ-2016a partial large subunit ribosomal RNA
Rfam family: Eukaryotic large subunit ribosomal RNA
Source: RNAcentral
CGGCAGGAGCUCAAAUUUGAAAUCUGAGGCCCUCGGCCUCCGAGUUGUAAUUUGGAGAGGCAUCUUCGGGGGGGAGCGCCGGCCCAUGUUCCUUGGAACAGGACGUCACAGAGGGUGAGAAUCCCGUGCCUGGCCGGCUGACUCCUCCCGGGUGGAGGGCCUUCGACGAGUCGAGUUGUUUGGGAAUGCAGCUCCAAGUGGGUGGUAAAUUUCAUCUAAGGCUAAAUACCGGCGGGAGACCGAUAGCGCACAAGUAGAGUGAUCGAAAGAUGAAAAGCACUUUGAAAAUAGAGUCAAAAAGUACGUGAAAUUGUUGAAAGGGAAGCGCUUGAGACCAGACUCGGGCCCGGGCAAACAUCGCGCCCCUCGGGGCCGUGCAAUUGCCUGGGGUCGGGCCAGCAUCAGUCGGCGUGGCGGGACAAAGGCGCGGAGAAUGUGGCUCCCCUCGGGGAGUGUUAUUAGCCCCGCGCUCAAUGCCGCCGACGCCGACUGAGGACCGCGCCUCGGCUAGGAUGCUGGCUUAAUGGCCUUCAGCGACCCGUCUUGAAACACGGACCAAGGAGUCUAACAUCUAUGCGAGUGUUUGGGCGCCAAACCCUUGCGCGAAAUGAAAGUGAGCGGAGGUGGGAACCCUCCCUGCGGGGGCGCACCAUCGACCGAUCCU